Molecule: unclassified non-coding RNA, 117 nt
Organism: Papio anubis (olive baboon)
Lineage: Eukaryota; Metazoa; Chordata; Mammalia; Primates; Cercopithecidae
Rfam family: Metazoan signal recognition particle RNA
About the family: The signal recognition particle (SRP) is a universally conserved ribonucleoprotein. It is involved in the co-translational targeting of proteins to membranes. The eukaryotic SRP consists of a 300-nucleotide 7S RNA and six proteins: SRPs 72, 68, 54, 19, 14, and 9.
Source: Ensembl
GCCGGGUAUGGUGGCUCAUGCCUGUAAUCCAAGCACUUUGGGAGGCCGAGGUGGGUGGAUCACCUGAGGUCAGGAGUUCGAGACCAGCCUGACCAACAUGGAGAAACCCCAUCUCUA